GCCAGCAGCCGCGGUAAUACAGAGGGUGCAAGCGUUAAUCGGAAUUACUGGGCGUAAAGGGAGCGUAGGUGGCUCGAUAAGUCAGAUGUGAAAUCCCCGGGCUCAACCUGGGAACUGCAUCUGAUACUGUUGAGCUAGAGUAUGUGAGGGGAAGGUAGAAUUCCAGGUGUAGCGGUGAAAUGCGUAGAGAUCUGGAGGAAUACCGAUGGCGAAGGCAGCCUUCUGGCAUAAUACUGACACUGAGGCUCGAAAGCGUGGGUAGCAAACAGGAUUAGAUACCCUGGUAGUCCACGCCGUAAACGAUGUCUACUAGUCGUUGGGUCCCUUGAGGACUUAGUGACGCAGCUAACGCAAUAAGUAGACCGCCUGGGGAGUACGGCCGCAAGGUUAAAACUCAAAUGAAUUGACGGGGGCCCGCACAAGCGGUGGAGCAUGUGGUUUAAUUCGAUGCAACGCGAAGAACCUUACCUGGUCUUGACAUAUCUAGAAUCCUGCAGAGAUGCGGGAGUGCCUUCGGGAAUUAGAAUACAGGUGCUGCAUGGCUGUCGUCAGCUCGUGUCGUGAGAUGUUGGGUUAAGUCCCGCAACGAGCGCAACCCUUGUCCUUAGUUACCAGCGGGUUAAGCCGGGAACUCUAAGGAUACUGCCAGUGACAAACUGGAGGAAGGCGGGGACGACGUCAAGUCAUCAUGGCCCUUACGACCAGGGCUACACACGUGCUACAAUGGUAGGUACAGAGGGCAGCUACACAGCGAUGUGAUGCGAAUCCCAAAAAGCCUAUCGUAGUCCAGAUUGGAGUCUGCAACUCGACUCCAUGAAGUAGGAAUCGCUAGUAAUC
RNAcentral lists this ribosomal RNA (837 nucleotides) under uncultured marine bacterium. RNAcentral's name for it is "bacterial SSU rRNA". It matches the Rfam family "Bacterial small subunit ribosomal RNA", at positions 507 to 1343 of the family's 1533-position model. The record is from RNAcentral.